AGUGAACGCUGGCGGUAGGCCUAACACAUGCAAGUCGAACGGCAGCACAGUAAGAGCUUGCUCUUACGGGUGGCGAGUGGCGGACGGGUGAGGAAUACAUCGGAAUCUACUUUUUCGUGGGGGAUAACGUAGGGAAACUUACGCUAAUACCGCAUACGACCUACGGGUGAAAGCAGGGGAUCUUCGUACCUUGCGCGUUUUAAUGAGCCGAUGUCGGAUUAGCUAGUUGGCGGGGUAAAGGCCCACCAAGGCGACGAUCCGUAGCUGGUCUGAGAGGAUGAUCAGCCACACUGGAACUGAGACACGGACCAGACGCCUACGGGAGGCAGCAGUGGGGAAUAUUGGACAAUGGGCGCAAGCAUGAUCCAGCAAUACCGCGUGGGUGAAGAAGGCCUUCGGGUUGUAAAGCCCUUUUGUUGGGAAAGAAAAGCAGCAGGUUAAUACCCCGCUGUUCUGACGGUACCCAAAGAAUAAGCACCGGCUAACUUCGUG
RNAcentral lists this ribosomal RNA (492 nucleotides) under uncultured bacterium. RNAcentral's name for it is "partial 16S ribosomal RNA". It matches the Rfam family "Bacterial small subunit ribosomal RNA", at positions 29 to 507 of the family's 1533-position model. The record is from RNAcentral.